CGGCCUGGCAGGUCCGUCGGGAAAUCCAGCCGCCCAACGGCUGGGCGACCGGCGGAACCCGCCAGGCUUGGGACCGGAAGACUCGAGGGGUACGUCCGGGGUAGGAGUGAAAUCCCGUAAUCCUGGACGGACCGCCGGUGGCGAAAGCGCCUCAGGAAGACGGACCCGACGGUGAGGGACGAAAGCUAGGGUCUCGAACCGGAUUAGAUACCCGGGUAGUCCUAGCCGUAAACGAUGCUCACUAGGUGUGGCGCUGGCUACGAGCCAGCGCUGUGCCGUAGGGAAGCCGUGAAGUGAGCCGCCUGGGAA
This 309-nucleotide ribosomal RNA is filed under the name uncultured archaeon. RNAcentral describes it as "bacterial SSU rRNA". It matches the Rfam family "Archaeal small subunit ribosomal RNA", at positions 526 to 834 of the family's 1478-position model. The record is from RNAcentral.